This is a long non-coding RNA of Anolis carolinensis (green anole), 4231 nucleotides long. RefSeq lists it as uncharacterized. The record is from RefSeq and is a predicted model, not a curated record. The transcript is spliced from 2 exons. Lineage: Eukaryota; Metazoa; Chordata; Lepidosauria; Squamata; Anolidae.
UGGGAUCAAGUAUUGGAUUAUAUUAUAUGAGUCUGCCAUAUAAUCCAGUUCAAAGCAAAUAUGGCAGUGUAGAUGGGGCCUUUUAUCAGGAAGGGACCUCAUGGGCCAUCAGUUACAGUUCCCCUGCUCAGUGCAAGGUUUUCAGCUAAAGCAGUGGUUCUCAACUUGUGGGUCCCCAGGUGUUUUGGCCUACAACUUGCAGAAAUCCCAACUGUUAGAAUUUCUGGGAGUUGAAGGUCAAAACAUCUGAGACCCACAGGUUGAGAACCACUGAGUUAAAGCAUUUUUAGCUGUCUAGCCCACCAUCACUUUAAGUAACUGGUUCCAUUGCGAAGCAACUCUCAUUGUUAAGAAAUUCCUACUAAUGUUGAAUCAAAAUUUACUUUCCUGUAAUUUAAAAUCAUUAAACCUAGAUUCCCCCAGAGGUAGCAGAGAUGAAGCCUUUACCACGUUGUGGUAGUUCUAGAGGUGUUUAAAGAGUGUGAUCAUGUUACCCUUCAAUCUUCUUUUCACCAAGCUGAACAUGCCCAGAUCCUUCAAACUUUCAUCACAUGUUUUGUUUUCCAUAUCUCUUAUCAUCUUCAUUGCUCUUCUCUGAACGCAGUCCAACUUGUUCGUUCUUAGAAUGAGGAACCCAGAACUGAACUUUGCUGCAGCAUUGUACUGUUGGCUCAUGUUCAAUUUAGGAUCAACAUAUCCAAUUCAGAAAUUAUUUAAGGGGAAAUACAAGACAGGUACAACUGAAAAACAUAUUGUCACCUGCCUAAAAUUCUGACAACUAGGCAGAGCCAAUGCACACUCAGUGACUUGUCCAGACACUCUAAGGGCACUUCUGCACAAGCAUUUAAUCAGAAGUAUAAAGAGAGUUGGCAAAUAGAGGGAGAAAACGUGGAGGCAGUGACAGACUUUAUAUUUCUAGGCGCGAAGAUCACUGCAGAUGCAGACUGCAGCCAGGAAAUCAGAAGACAUUUACUUCUUGGGAGGAGAGCAAUGGCCAACCGUAGCAAAAUAGUGAAGAGCAGAACCAUCACACUGGCAACGAAGGUCCGCAUAAUCAAAGCAAUGGUAUUCCCCAUAGUAACCUAUGGAUGCGAGAACUGGACCUUAAGGAAGGCUGAGCGAAGGAAGAUAGACGCUUUUGAACUCUGGUGCUGGAGGAAAAUCCUGAGAGUGCCUUGGACCGCAAGAAGAUCCAACCAGUCCAUCCUCCAGGAAAUAAUGCCGGCUGCUCACUGGAGGGAAGGAUAUUAGAGGCAAAGUUGAAGUAUUUUGGCCACAUCAUGAGAAGGCAGGAAAGCUUGGAAAAGAUCACGAUGCUGGGGAAAAUGGAAGGAAAAAGGAAGAGAGGCCGACCAAGGGCAAGAUGGAUGGACGGUAUCUUUGAAGUGACUGGGUUUUACCUUGAAGGAACUGGGGGCGGUGACGGCCGACAGGGAGCUCUGGCGUGGACUGGUCCAUGAGGUCACGAAGAGUCGGAGACAACUAAACGACUGAGCAGCAGCAGCAUAAAGAGAGUUUUAAAAAUCUGUUACCUUCCAGAGAGUUGUGCCUGGGAUAUAAUGGGAUUUGUUGUAGCACAUUUUUCAGACUUUCUCUGGACUUUUUAAAGCAUGGGUUUUCUCUGUUUAAUGCAUUUCUGCCGGAUUAUGUGUGUGCGUCGUUUGCCCCCUCCCGAAUCCACUUCAAUGUGGAUUAUAAGGUCUGUGUAGACCGAAGAAGCCCUUCAAACUGCAGAAUUAUAGUAGUUUGAUAUCAGUUUUAACCGCCAUGGCUUCAUCCUCUGGGAUCUUGUAAUUGAUGUUUUUUUGUGUAAUGGAAAUCCGCUGAUAGAGAGAGGUAAAUAUCUCACAAAACUACUGAGCUAUAACAGUUAAUGGUCACACCAAAAGUCCACCACAACAAGUCAUGUUCUUAGGGGAUGCUCCAAGAAUGCUCCCUAAGUCCUUUAUAAACCAUGUCUCUUAAGUGGCAAAGAAAAGAAAAGGCAAAUAUCUCAGGAUUUCUGCCCCCAUGUUUCAUCAUCUUUCAGACAAAGCAACAUGUUGUUUUGGAAUCACACUCCCUAAGUGUAAUACAAAUUGCCUUAGCAAGCGCCUUCCUCUUCUCCCUUGCUGUGCUGUGAGCCAAACUGUACCGCAGUGUCUGAGGUGGUUAUUAGUUCACUGGUUCAAAAAAGGGAGGGGGGCUACUGAAGUUAUAAAGCUUUAAUUUGGCAUUAACUCAAGUGGAAACUCUGCAAGACUGCCAACAUCUACACAUACAGGCAUUCACCCAUAUUUUUUUAAAACUGUUAAUGGGUGUUAUAUUAAAUUAAAAAUAAAACCAACUUUUAAAAACUCAUGAAACUCUUUGGGACUGAAGAAAAUUAUGGGUUGUUUUUGUUUAGUAUUAUAUUUUUACUAGCUGCCCAGUUCCCAUUUCCCCCACUCCACCUCUUUACAAUAAUUGAGUGGAGCUUUAAACUUGAAAACACAGGAAUGUAAUAGCCAGAGGGAAAGUCGCCCCUGCCCCUGCCUAUGCAAAUCUGGAUGUGAGAAUCCUAAUUUAAAAAAGAGGCAAGAUGCAUUUUCCCACUGUAUGUUAUGACUGGGUUCUACAAGUAAAAUACAUAUCCAAAUGCAAUUUGGGGUUUAUAGAUAGUUAUGGAGGACAUGACUUGAGAGUUUUCAGAUCUACCCCAGGUAAUGUAUUUUGAUAUGUUUGCCGCUUGUUCUCUGGAAAGACUGCUUUUAAAGUGCAUAAAUUUACUCAUUUGUGCUUGAUUGGUCCCCAUGUAUUUUAAUUCUGUUCUCGUUCUGUGAUCCAGCGUAAUGUAGUGGUUUCAGUGCUAAACUUGGGCCCCUUCUACACUGCCAUAUAAAAUCCAGGAUAUCUGCUUUGAACUGGAUUAUAUGGCAGUGUAGACUGAGAUAAUCCAGUUCAAAGCAGUUAAUGUGGAUUAUCUGCUGACCUGAAGGUUGCCGGUUUGAAUCCAACCCUGGGAGAGCGCGGAUGAGCUUCCUCUAUCAGCUCCAGCUCCAUGUGGGGACAUGAGAGAAGCCUCCCAUAAGGAUGGUAAAAACAUCAAAAUAUCCGGGUGUCCCCUGGGCAACCUCCUUGCAGAUGGCCAAUUCUCUCACACCAGAAAUGACUUGCAGUUUCUCAAGUUGCUUUUGACAAGAAAAAAAAUCUGCUUUCAUAAUCUGGAUUAUAUAGCAGUGUAAGGUAAAGGUAAAGGUUUUUCCCUGACAUUAAGUCUAGUCAUGUGUGACUCUGGGGGUUGGUGCUCAUCUCCAUUUCUAAGCUGAAAAGCAAGCAUUGUCCAUAGACACCUCCUAGGUCAUGUGGCCAGCAUGACUGCAUAGAGUGCCGUUAGAUGGGUCCUAAAUUGCUGCUCAGCUAUGGAAACCCACCGGGUAACUUAUACUCUCUCAGCAAUACGUUGCCUUGAAUAAAUCUUUAUUUAUUAUUUAUUUACGUCAUUUCUAUCCCACCUUUCUCACCCGAAGGGACUCAAGGCAGCUUACAGACCUGGCAAAAAUUCAAUGCCAAUAAAUCUUGCUAAGAAAAUUCUGUGGUGGGAUCAUCAAAAUGGAUUAGAAGGCGUACAGCAGCAAUGACAAUUUUUUCCUGUGUGAGGUUGUAGGUAGCCAACACUUGAACUGAAAAGGCCAGAAUCUGAGACCUUUAGUGGGGACCUAAACUGACAGAGGCUUCAGAGGCACUUAUCUUUGUAGUAAGUUGAACUCACUGUUAAUGUAUGAGGAUUUGUUUAAUAUAAAGAUUUAAUAUAUGAGAACAGUUGACAUGCAUUCAGGGAUUUAGUUAUAUUGAGUGAGCAGCAAGGGAAAUACCCCUCUUCCAUUGUCUCUCUGUUACCACUCAUAAAAUAGAGUUUAUAUGGGAUCAAAUUUGCUUAGGCCCAUCUCAGACACUAAACUCCAAAGUACAGACUUGUUCAGACAAAUAUAAAAUGUCCUAUAUUUAGUGUUUCCUAUCCCCCCCCCUUUUUAAAAAAAGCAAAUGUCAGUCUUAUAGGUAUAUAGGCCAAGUUACUGCUCUACUGUAAAUUUAUUUACUGUACUUGGUCUUAACAUUUGUUUUCCUAGUUUUUAAAUUCCCAGUUCUGUUCAAAUUGGGAUGUUUAAGGUACACAGAGUUCUAGAGAGCCUCUAGAGUUUGAUUUUCCAAAGGCAGCCAAGGUAGGCUCAAGCAUUUCUUUCACUUAGCUCACUUGCUCCACAAAUGAUCA